UACGGAGGAUGCAAGCGUUAUCCGGAAUGAUUGGGCGUAAAGGGUCCGCAGGUGGCUGUGUAAGUCUGCUGUUAAAUAGUCACGCUCAACAUGAUCAAGGCAGUGGAAACUACAUAGCUAGAGUGCGUUCGGGGCAGAGGGAAUUCCUGGUGUAGCGGUGAAAUGCGUAGAUAUCAGGAAGAACACCGGUGGCGAAGGCGCUCUGCUAGGCCGUAACUGACACUGAGGGACGAAAGCUAGGGGAGCGAAUGGG
RNAcentral lists this ribosomal RNA (253 nucleotides) under uncultured bacterium. Its description in RNAcentral is "partial 16S ribosomal RNA". It matches the Rfam family "Bacterial small subunit ribosomal RNA", at positions 524 to 776 of the family's 1533-position model. The record is from RNAcentral.